GGAGAAUGAGGAUUUCGAUCCAGAAACAGAGUCGGAAUCGGAAGAUGAAGAAGGAGAUCAGCAAGUCGUAAAGCUGUCUGAACCUUCAAAAACUGCUGUAUAUAACAAGGAUGGUUUGCUUGAAAGGCUGGCUGAUAUUAGUUGGCCUGAUGAUUUGGAUUGGACUCACAGGCUUAGCAUCGAUAGGGAGGAGCAAGAAGAGGUGGAUGUGAACGAUGAUUUGGCGAGGGAACACUCGUUUUACACGCAGGGGUUGGAGGGUAUACGUCAAGCGUACGUCAACUUUCAGUCAACCGGUGAACCAUUUCUGAGGCCCUCUGAUUAUUACGCUGAAAUGGUGAAGUCUGACACUCACAUGGAGAAAGUUAAGGGCCGACUCUUGGCUGAGAAGAGGAGGAUUGAGGAGUCCGAGGAGAGGAGGAAGGCAAGAGAUAACAAGAAACUUGCUAAAGAUGUACAAGCACAGAAGAUGAAAGAACGAACUAAGCAGAAGAAGCAAGAGAUUGAGUCCGUUAAGAAGUGGAGGAAGCAGAGGCAACAAAGUGGCUUCGACAAAGAAGAUGCUGGCGGUCUAGAUUUGGCAUUUAAUGGAGGAGAGGCGAAUAAACCCUAUCAGCGAUCAAAUAAGAAGAGACCUGGUGUAUCUCCCGGAGAUCGUUCAGGUGGUAAGGCAACAUUUGGUGGAAAAGGUAAGGGGUUUGACAAAAAGAGGAAAAGCAGGGAAUUCAAGGAUUCAAAGUUUGGAUUUGGUGGUA
Molecule: unclassified non-coding RNA, 755 nt
Filed under: Hevea brasiliensis (rubber tree)
Lineage: Eukaryota; Viridiplantae; Streptophyta; Magnoliopsida; Malpighiales; Euphorbiaceae
Source: RNAcentral